Acinonyx jubatus (cheetah) is the source of this 806-nucleotide long non-coding RNA. RefSeq lists it as uncharacterized. The transcript has 4 exons. The record is from RefSeq and is a predicted model, not a curated record. Lineage: Eukaryota; Metazoa; Chordata; Mammalia; Carnivora; Felidae.
AAUGGAAACAGAGAAUGUCACCAGGCACGGAGUUCCAAAUUCCCAAAGUCAUUAUAAGAUCUAUGUUUGUGAUUGGAUUCUUGGCUGACCCCAAAACCAAAUUCAGAAGACUCUUAACACUCUGGAGCCACCGUAAGGACCUGCUGCUUGUGUGUAUAUGCUUCUGGCUGGCUCUGGGUAUCUAGGGAACGUGGUUCUACCUGAGACUCUUUUGAGUUGGGAGAUACACUGAGCUUGAGACUGACUCUGCAGUGGCUCUGGGUCCCCUGGCAUGCCUCCACCUAGAAGGCCGCUCUGGGUGACUUGUAAGGCACUACCAACACCAUCUGCUCCAGAGCAGAAAGACUACUUAAUAGCCAAAAGCAGCUGCCAGCUUAGGCUUCAAUGUACUCUCUCAGUUCCCUCCAGGAUGACCUGAUGUGACCACCCUUCUAGAAGAGAAAACAGACGCUUUGGAAGUUUCACUGAUUUACGUGCUCAGGGUCACACAGCUACAAAAUGCUGUAGCUGGGACAUUAAUUGAGAUCUUUUGAUUCUUUCCACCGCUCGACAGCUGUUUGUAAAAGCUUUGGUCGGCACAAUUCUGAUUUAAAGGAACCUACUGAGUAAUCCUCUGGUAAAGAAGAAAACCGUGCCUGAUGCAUAUUUUGUAACCGUGAACAGAAGCCCAAGGAUCAGGUGCUGGCUGCAGAACAAAGAUGUUUACUUUCCACCAGGAUCAAAGGUGAACAUAAACCAAAAAUAAGUACAGCACCUUUACCAUCAGAGUCUUUCAGACAAUAAAGCAGAACAUAUUUUGAGAAUUA